AAUCAACGCUGGCGGCGUGCCUCAGACAUGCAAGUCGAACGCGAAAGGCCCCUUCGGGGGCCCGGUAGAGUGGCGCACGGGUGAGUAACACGUAGGUAAUUUGCCUUCGGGUGGGGAAUAACAGCCGGAAACGGCUGCUAAUACCGCAUAAUGCAGCGGCUCGACAUCGAGACAGUUGUUAAAGCGGGGGAUCGCAAGACCUCGCGCCUGAAGAGAAGCCUGCGGCAGAUAGCUUGUUGGUGAGGUAAUGGCUCACCAAGGCGACGAUCUGUAACCGGCCUGAGAGGGCGGUCGGUCACACUGACACUGACAUACGGGUCAGACUCCUACGGGAGGCAGCAGU
This 343-nucleotide ribosomal RNA is filed under the name uncultured bacterium. Its description in RNAcentral is "bacterial SSU rRNA". It matches the Rfam family "Bacterial small subunit ribosomal RNA", at positions 32 to 355 of the family's 1533-position model. The record is from RNAcentral.